UGGGGAAUAUUGGACAAUGGGCGCAAGCCUGAUCCAGCCAUGCCGCGUGAGUGAUGAAGGCCCUAGGGUUGUAAAGCUCUUUUGUGCGGGAAGAUAAUGACGGUACCGCAAGAAUAAGCCCCGGCUAACUUCGUGCCAGCAGCCGCGGUAAUACGAAGGGGGCUAGCGUUGCUCGGAAUCACUGGGCGUAAAGGGUGCGUAGGCGGGUCUUUAAGUCAGGGGUGAAAUCCUGGAGCUCAACUCCAGAACUGCCUUUGAUACUGAGGAUCUUGAGUUCGGGAGAGGUGAGUGGAACUGCGAGUGUAGAGGUGAAAUUCGUAGAUAUUCGCAAGAACACCAGUGGCGAAGGCGGCUCACUGGCCCGAUACUGACGCUGAGGCACGAAAGCGUGGGGAGCAAACAGGAUUAGAUACCCCGGUAGUCCACGCCCUAAACGAUGUCAACUAGUUGUUGGGGAUUCAUUUCUUCAGUAACGUAGCUAACGCGUGAAGUUGACCGCCUGGGGAGUACGGUCGCAAGAUUA
Molecule: ribosomal RNA, 523 nt
Filed under: uncultured bacterium
Lineage: Bacteria
Description: bacterial SSU rRNA
Rfam family: Bacterial small subunit ribosomal RNA
Source: RNAcentral